This 151-nucleotide small nucleolar RNA is filed under the name Chrysemys picta bellii (western painted turtle). Its description in RNAcentral is "Small nucleolar RNA SNORA57 (ENSCPBG00000017936.1)". It matches the Rfam family "Small nucleolar RNA SNORA57". Rfam says of the family: U99 belongs to the H/ACA class of snoRNAs which are thought to guide the sites of modification of uridines to pseudouridines, the target for this family is unknown. The record is from Rfam by way of RNAcentral. Lineage: Eukaryota; Metazoa; Chordata; Testudines; Emydidae.
CCUCCUUUUCUUGGCAGGCCCGGGCGAUGCGGUGCCCGGCUCUGUAAUGCUCCGGAGGCAGAGGAAGGGGAUCCCAUCCCCCCCGGUGUUCUGUCUUCGGUGCCAGCGGCUUCCCCAUCUGCUGGUUCUAUCCUCAAGCACCGGGACACGC